This 505-nucleotide ribosomal RNA is filed under the name uncultured bacterium. RNAcentral describes it as "partial 16S ribosomal RNA". It matches the Rfam family "Bacterial small subunit ribosomal RNA", at positions 28 to 507 of the family's 1533-position model. The record is from RNAcentral.
GACGAACGCUGGCGGCGUGCCUAAUACAUGCAAGUAGAACGCACAGUUUAUACCGUAGCUUGCUACACCAUAGACUGUGAGUUGCGAACGGGUGAGUAACGCGUAGGUAACCUGCCUGGUAGCGGGGGAUAACUAUUGGAAACGAUAGCUAAUACCGCAUAAUAUUGAUUAUUGCAUGAUAAUUGAUUGAAAGAUGCUAUUGCAUCACUACCAGAUGGACCUGCGUUGUAUUAGCUAGUAGGUGAGGUAACGGCUCACCUAGGCGACGAUACAUAGCCGACCUGGGAGGGUGGUCGGCCACACUGGGACUGAGACACGGCCCAGACUCCUACGGGGAGCAGCAGUAGGGAAUCUUCGGCAAUGGACGAAAGUCUGACCGAGCAACGCCGCGUGAGUGAAGAAGGUUUUCGGAUCGUAAAGCUCUGUUGUAAGAGAAGAACGGGUGUGAGAGUGGAAAGUUCACACUGUGACGGUAUCUGACCAGAAAGGGACGGCUAACUACGUG